RNAcentral lists this ribosomal RNA (253 nucleotides) under uncultured bacterium. Its description in RNAcentral is "partial 16S ribosomal RNA". It matches the Rfam family "Bacterial small subunit ribosomal RNA", at positions 524 to 776 of the family's 1533-position model. The record is from RNAcentral.
UACGAAGGGAGCUAGCGUUGUUCGGAAUUACUGGGCGUAAAGGGCGCGUAGGCGGCUUGGCAAGUUGGGUGUGAAAGCCCAGGGCUCAACCCUGGAAUUGCAUUCAAGACUGCCUUGCUUGAAUUCGGUAGAGGUUGGUGGAAUUCCCAGUGUAGAGGUGAAAUGCGUAGAGAUUUGGAAGAACACCCGUGGCGAAGGCGGUCAACUGGACCGACAUUGACGCUGAGGCGCGAUAGCGUGGGGAUCAAACAGU